RNAcentral lists this transfer RNA (90 nucleotides) under Anaerolineae bacterium. RNAcentral's name for it is "tRNA-Ser". It matches the Rfam family "tRNA". From Rfam's summary of the family: Transfer RNA (tRNA) molecules are approximately 80 nucleotides in length. Their secondary structure includes four short double-helical elements and three loops (D, anti-codon, and T loops). Further hydrogen bonds mediate the characteristic L-shaped molecular structure. tRNAs have two regions of fundamental functional importance: the anti-codon, which is responsible for specific mRNA codon recognition, and the 3' end, to which the tRNAs corresponding amino acid is attached (by aminoacyl-tRNA synthetases). tRNAs cope with the degeneracy of the genetic code in two manners: having more than one tRNA (with a specific anti-codon) for a particular amino acid; and 'wobble' base-pairing, i.e. permitting non-standard base-pairing at the 3rd anti-codon position. The record is from RNAcentral. Lineage: Bacteria; Bacillati; Chloroflexota; Anaerolineae.
GGGGAGGUGCCAGAGUGGACGAUUGGGGCCGCCUGCUAAGCGGUUGUCGGCUAUAACCGACCGCAGGUUCGAAUCCUGUCCUCCCCGCCA